This is a non-coding RNA of Ceratotherium simum simum (southern white rhinoceros), 143 nucleotides long. NCBI's taxonomy places the organism in Eukaryota, Metazoa, Chordata, Mammalia, Perissodactyla, Rhinocerotidae. The record is from RefSeq and is a predicted model, not a curated record.
AAUAAGUUCUGGGGAUCUAAUGUAUAGCACGGUGAUUAUAGUUAAUCAUACCAUAUUAUAUGCUUGAAAGUUACUAAGGGAGUAGAUCUUGAAUGUUCUCACCACACAUAAAAAAUUGGUAAUUAUGUGAAGAGAUAGAUGUG